UACAGAGGAUGCAAGCGUUAUCCGGAAUGAUUGGGCGUAAAGCGUCUGUAGGUGGCUUUUUAAGUCCGCCGUCAAAUCCCAGGGCUCAACUCUGGACAGGCGGUGGAUACUACCAAGCUGGAGUACGGUAGGGGCAGAGGGAAUUUCCGGUGGAGCGGUGAAAUGCGUAGAGAUCCGGAGGAACACCGACGGCGUAGGCAGCGCCCUGGCUGUGAAUAAAGCUGACACUGAGGCACGAAAGCUGGGGGAGCAAACAGG
Molecule: ribosomal RNA, 258 nt
Filed under: uncultured bacterium
Lineage: Bacteria
Description: partial 16S ribosomal RNA
Rfam family: Bacterial small subunit ribosomal RNA
Source: RNAcentral